UUUCCGUAGGUGAACCUGCGGAAGGAUCAUUCAUAAUAAAGUGUUUUAUGGCACUUUUUAAAAAUCCAUAUCCACCUUGUGUGCAAUGUUAGAUCUCGUCAAUCUUGGCGAGAUUUUUAUACAUCAACUCAUUCUUUAACUAAUUUGUCUGAAAAAUAAUAUGAAUACUUAAUUCAAAAUACAACUUUCAACAACGGAUCUCUUGGCUCUC
This 211-nucleotide unclassified non-coding RNA is filed under the name plant metagenome. RNAcentral describes it as "partial contains small subunit ribosomal RNA, internal transcribed spacer 1, and 5.8S ribosomal RNA". The record is from RNAcentral.